GUGUCAGCAGCCGCGGUAAUACGUAGGUGGCAAGCGUUGUCCGGAUUUACUGGGCGUAAAGCGCGCGCAGGCGGCUUGUUAAGUCUGCUGUGAAACCUCCCGGCUUAACUGGGAGCAGCCAGCGGAUACUGGCAGGCUUGAGGCGAGCAGAGGAAGGUGGAAUUCCCGGUGUAGUGGUGAAAUGCGUAGAUAUCGGGAGGAACACCAGUGGCGAAGGCGGCCUUCUGGGCUCGUCCUGACGCUGAGGCGCGAAAGCGUGGGGAGCGAACCGGAUUAGAUACCCGGGUAGUCCACGCCGUAAACGAUGGGUACUAGAUGUGGGGGGUAUCGACCCCCUCCGUGUCGUAGCUAACGCGUUAAGUACCCCGCCUGGGGAGUACGGCCGCAAGGCUAAA
Molecule: ribosomal RNA, 395 nt
Filed under: uncultured bacterium
Lineage: Bacteria
Description: bacterial SSU rRNA
Rfam family: Bacterial small subunit ribosomal RNA
Source: RNAcentral